RNAcentral lists this ribosomal RNA (494 nucleotides) under uncultured bacterium. Its description in RNAcentral is "partial 16S ribosomal RNA". It matches the Rfam family "Bacterial small subunit ribosomal RNA", at positions 28 to 507 of the family's 1533-position model. The record is from RNAcentral.
GACGAACGCUGGCGGCGUGCUUAACACAUGCAAGUCGAACGGUGAAGCGCCUUCCUUUUUGGUGGGUGUGGAUGAGUGGCGAACGGGUGAGUAACACGUGAGUAACCUGCCCCCUUCUUCUGGAUAACCGCAUGAAAGUGUGGCUAAUACGGGAUAUUCUGGGUCUGUCGCAUGAUGGGUCUGGGAAAGAUAUUGUUUCGGUGGGGGAUGGGCUCGCGGCCUAUCAGCUUGUUGGUGGGGUGAUGGCCUACCAAGGCGGUGACGGGUUGCCGGCCUGAGAGGGUGGACGGUCACACUGGGACUGAGACACGGCCCAGACUCCUACGGGAGGCAGCAGUGGGGAAUAUUGCACAAUGGGCGCAAGCCUGAUGCAGCGACGCCGCGUGAGGGAUGGAGGCCUUCGGGUUGUGAACCUCUUUCGCCAGUGAAGCAGGCCUGCCUCGUUUGUGGGUGGGUUGACGGUAGCUGGAUAAGAAGCGCCGGCUAACUACGUG